GUGUCUGUAGCUCAGUUGGAUAGAGUGCUUGACUACGAAUCAAGAGGUCGGGGGUUCGAGCCCCUCCAGGCACACCA
Molecule: transfer RNA, 77 nt
Filed under: Clostridiales bacterium
Lineage: Bacteria; Bacillati; Bacillota; Clostridia; Eubacteriales
Description: tRNA-Arg
Rfam family: tRNA
About the family: Transfer RNA (tRNA) molecules are approximately 80 nucleotides in length.
Source: RNAcentral